GUCUACGGCCAUGCCGCCCUGAACAAGCCCGAAACCGUCUGAUCUCAGAAGCUAAGUAAGAUCAGGCCUGGUUAGUAUUUGAAUGGGAGACAAUCUAGGAGAACCAGGUGCUGUAGGUG
RNAcentral lists this ribosomal RNA (119 nucleotides) under Pteropus alecto (black flying fox). The record is from RNAcentral. Lineage: Eukaryota; Metazoa; Chordata; Mammalia; Chiroptera; Pteropodidae.